Otolemur garnettii (small-eared galago) is the source of this 107-nucleotide small nuclear RNA. NCBI's taxonomy places the organism in Eukaryota, Metazoa, Chordata, Mammalia, Primates, Galagidae. The record is from Ensembl.
GUGCUUGCUUUGGCAGCACAUAUACUAAAAUUGGAAUGAUACAGAGAAGAUUUGCAUGGCCACUGCACAAGGCUGACACACACAUUCAUGAAGCUUUCCAUAUUUUU